RNAcentral lists this ribosomal RNA (501 nucleotides) under uncultured bacterium. RNAcentral describes it as "partial 16S ribosomal RNA". It matches the Rfam family "Bacterial small subunit ribosomal RNA", at positions 30 to 523 of the family's 1533-position model. The record is from RNAcentral.
AUUGAACGCUGGCGGCAGGCUUAACACAUGCAAGUCGAGCGGGGGAAGGUAGCUGGCUACCGGACCUAGCGGCGGACGGGUGAGUAAUGCUUAGGAAUCUGCCUAUUAGUGGGGGACAACAUCUCGAAAGGGAUGCUAAUACCGCAUACGUCCUACGGGAGAAAGCAGGGGAUCGUCCGUCCUUGCGCUAAUAGAUGAGCCUCAGUCGGAUUAGGUAGUUGGUGGGGUAAAGGCCUACCAAGGCGACGAUCUGUCGCGGGGCUGGGAGGAUGAUCCGGCACACUUGGACGUAGACACGGGCCAGACUCCUACGGGAGGCGGCAGUGGGGAAUAUUGGGCAAUGGGGGGAACCCUGAUCCAGCCAUGCCGCGUGUGUGAAGAAGGCCUUAUGGUUGUAAAGCACUUUAAGCGAGGAGGAGGCUACUUUAGUUAAUACCUAGAGAUAGUGGACGUUACUCGCAGAAUAAGCACCGGCUAACUCUGUGCCAGCAGCCGCAGUAA